RNAcentral lists this ribosomal RNA (578 nucleotides) under uncultured archaeon. RNAcentral's name for it is "bacterial SSU rRNA". It matches the Rfam family "Archaeal small subunit ribosomal RNA", at positions 60 to 643 of the family's 1478-position model. The record is from RNAcentral.
GAAUGUAGCAAUACAUGGCGAACUGCUCAGUAACACGUGGACAACCUGCCCUUAGGACGGGGAUAAACCCGGGAAACUGGGUAUAAUACCCGAUAGGUCUCGAUUGCUGGAAUGCAUCGAGAUUUAAAGCUCCGGCGCCUAAGGAUGGGUCUGCGGCCUAUCAGGUAGUAGUGGGUGUAGCGUACCUACUAGCCUACGACGGGUACGGGUUGUGAGAGCAAGAGCCCGGAGAUGGAUUCUGAGACACGAAUCCAGGCCCUACGGGGUGCAGCAGGCGCGAAAACUUUACAAUGCUGGCAACAGCGAUAAGGGAACCUCGAGUGCCAGGUUACAAAUCUGGCUGUCGAGAUGCCUAAAAAGCAUUUCAUAGCAAGGGCCGGGCAAGACCGGUGCCAGCCGCCGCGGUAACACCGGCGGCUCGAGUGGUAACCGUUAUUAUUGGGUCUAAAGGGUCUGUAGCCGGCCGGAUAAGUCUCUUGAGAAAUCUGGCAGCUUAACUGUCAGGCUUUCGCGAGAUACUGUCUGGCUCGAGGCCGGGAGAGGUGAGAGGUACUUCAGGGGUAGGGGUGAAAUCUUGU